GUGGUGACAGAUAGCAGAGCAAAGGAAAGAGAAUGGCCAGCAUUCACGAGCACACACAGACCUCACCCUUUGUCCGUGGGAGGGACCAGGACGGGUAGCACUGCUCUUUCAAAUGGCUUUGACGUGCAAAUUAGGUACUCUGCACAGGGCUUCUUUUCUGAAAAGCUUCCCCCAGCAGGCCUUGCUGGGAAAGGCUGCCUUCUCCCUUGGCUGCUGAUUUGGGAAAGCACCUGGGCCAGGGUUAGUUCAGGAGAGCUUGAAUGGCUGCAGACAGUUCCAGUUGGUCUGUUACGUGAGUUUGUUUGUAGAUGAGAAGUUCCCCCAUGGGAUGUGCUGAAAGUAUCCCUGGAGAACACAGAGCUCCUGAAGCAGACUUCCUUCAUGUCCCCUCAUGGAAAGUCAGUUCCCUCUGCCAUUCCAGGCCUGCGUCACACUGGCCACCAACCACUCGUGUGUGCACAUGAAAGGUGGAGUGUAGCAAGGCUUUAUGAAGCCCCAGAAAAGGGGAUCAGAUAGCUGGAUAUUUUUCUUUUCCCCUUCUGCGUGUCAUUUAAUGAUGGUGUCCAUGCUCGCAACAGUCUGCCAGGAUCUUCAGUUGUAGGUGAUGAAUGUAUGUCUAUGUCCCAUGCGACUUGAACCCCAAGCUGUAAAACGCAAGCAUUAUAUCCUUAAACUACAAGAGUUCCCUUUAUAGAUUUUCAGCUUGCUAAUUGUGGGGCUUCCUACCAUGCACAGGGCCUGAUCCUAAUUAGCUUCUGACACUAGACACACUCGGUGUAAUAUGGCUA
RNAcentral lists this small RNA (788 nucleotides) under Rattus norvegicus (Norway rat). Its description in RNAcentral is "uncharacterized LOC102556109". Lineage: Eukaryota; Metazoa; Chordata; Mammalia; Rodentia; Muridae. The record is from RNAcentral.